AAAGCACACACAUGCACACGAAAAAGCAGCCUGCACGGAGGAAUUACUGAUUUCGACAGGAAUGGAAUUUCUCGCUCACUGCCUUGUUCGGUUCGUCAGACCUCCCACUGUCUGGAUGUCAUAAACUGCAAGCUCCCUGUAGACCUGAAGCAGAUGCCUAAAGGAGCUUCCUCGUUCUUACAGAGUAGCUUCAUCUCCCUUUUACUAGAAUGGCAUGACUUUCACAGAUACUUCAUCCUUCCUCUGCUUCAAUGACUCAUUUAAGACGGCAGCUCUGCUCUGGACAUCAGAAACGCAGAAGGGGUCAAGCAAUGCAAAAAUAUCCAACCUCUCUGUGCUGAACCCAGUGAAAGGCAGGUAUCAGGGCUUCCACGGGUGCUUUCGCCUCUAUGCAGAACUAAGCAUGUACUUUGCCUUGAGAGAGCAGGGAGGUACAACCCCUAGAUGGUUAGUCACGUCUAAAGGCAGCCUUGACUAUUGCUUCUCCUAAUGUCAAGCUCAUUCUGGAUCUCUCAGCCUUCUUGACCCAUGCCAUUGCAGUAACGUGAGAACAGGUUGCAUGAUCUUUCUGAAAUCCACGCGGGAGCAGCGUCCUUCAACCUUGCGUCCACAGGUGAUGAUCCUGAGCAAGCUGGGUGUUGUAGCGCCAGCACCCUGUGUCCUCCUGUGGGCCACGGGUCGUGAUGACUGAAAACCUGUGGAUCUGCAAGUUACAGCCCAAAGAAGGAGGUAAAUGUGAAAGACAACCUGGAACAGCUUAAGAUAUUUCCAUUUCAGCUGCACUAGGAAGAAGCUGGCAGGUUGGUUUGUGCUGAGACAAUAUUAUGCUGUGUUCUGAUCCUCUGAAUUACAAAUGAGCCAGUUCCACUGUAGGUAAAACUUUAUUUCAUCCAGACACAUAUCAGUGCGAAUCCCAUAGCAUAAAGCUCUAUAUUCCAGUAUUAGUACCAGAAUCUCUUCCACUAAUUUUUUCCUCAAUUUAAAGCUUGCAAGCAGCAGUGAGCAUUUUCCACUUGAUUUACUUCAGUUUGCUGCUUGAAGAUGCACUUGCUGCCCACAAUUAACACUGGUCAUCGUCCAAAGCCUGUAUCACCUCAGCUCUUACCCAUCUUACAACAUCUUUUUAAUGGGGUGAUCAAAACCACACACCAUAUUGCAAAGGUGGCAUUGUGGGAACUUUCUGCCAAGCCAUCAUCAUCUAUGGGGAGUCUUACAUGUCUGUUAAAAGCUGUUUUAGCCUUUUAGUCAGGCAAUACACACUAUAGAAGGUGGGUGCACUUCAUCCUUCAUUCCUUUCCCUUCUUCCAAUAAAUUCCAUCGCUUUGUAAAAGGUGAUAAAGUUGGUUUUUUUCCCUGUAUUCACUGCUGAUGUCUACUCAUAAUCUUAGAUCCUACAAUAUUUAAAUUAGACUUUUUUUCCCUCUCAAGGUCAGUACAGUACUACAAAAAGAAAACAAAAGCUGUUUCAAUUUAUUGUGCUCCAUACACAGAUUUGUCUGUAUUUCUCUGGGCUUUUAUUUUUUUUUUCCUUUUCUUUUCUUUCUUGUUUCUCUAGCAGCACAUAAGCAGAAAAGCAAGAGUAAGCUGAAUCCAUGAGGAACUUGCUACAUUUCUACUUGGACAUUGAUGGAUGGAGAAGCAUUUAAAAGAAAAAAAAUAUCAAUAUUGAAUCCAAAAAGGUGGAGUCACCUCUGCUGGUUUAGCAGCAUUAUGGGGUGGCAGGGAGUUGCCCAAAUAUGUUUGUAUUUCCCAUCUCCCCAGAAGCUCAUGGGUUCAACAGCAUAUGGAAGACACUACCAGAGACCUGUGAAAUAGGUGGGGACCUGCCAGACCAGCAGGAGUUAACAUUACAAAUGUAUUUUCUAUGCAUACCUUUAUUGCUCUUUAAAGAUGGCAGAACAAAACAGCUGCAGCCCUGAAAUGAUGAUCUUAAAAAUAUAAAUAUAGCUGCUAUUUGUUACAGCUCUCUAUUAAACUGGCAGAUGAUUGCUGUUAUGUUUUCCCUCUCUUAUUCCUGGGAUAGCACAUUUUCCAACUUGUUAAGUUACAGUAUGUAAUUUAUGACCAUCAAAGUGGAAAACAUUACACAGUGCAUGAAUUUGCAUCAGCAUGAAUGUCUGUUAUCGAAUGUGUGCUGUAGUUCUAGAAACAUGCAGUUAUUCCUCCUUGGCAAAACUAAUAUUUUUGUUAUCAGGUUUUGUUUAGUUGUAUUUAACUGAUUAGAACAGCUUUAAUGGAUACAUGCAAGAGUUCUGUAAGGGGCAGUCCCCAGUAGGUCUACUUUUCUGUGAAAUCAGGCAAAGCUAUUGUCUAUGAAAAUAUAGUCCAGCAUUAAAUCAAGGUUGGUUCAGCAAUGUGAACUUGCAAGAAGGUGCAAACUUGCAACAGACAGGCUGGCUGAUUGAAUCCUUAAGUAUUGUAACUGUGGCAUGUCAACAAUGCUAGCAUCGUAGGCUGGGAUCCAGUCUGCUUGUUUAAGAUAGAUCUUAACUGUAGGUGCACAGAAAAAAAAUGCCUUAAUGGAAAGGUAAUUGAGUGUCUCCAUUGAGAGUCAAUGGAAAAGCUUCCAUUGAUUCCAUGGCAGUGAAUUUAGGGGCACUCAUUCAUUGGACUGCUGUGCUGGAUCCCACUUUUUAAUCAUUUCAUGUAAGGUGGUGAUUCACAGAUCAGGCUACAAAUUGUAUCUUCAUAGCAUCUGAUUCUUGAAACAGUGAGAGCUGAGUCAGAUCUGCAAAAUACAUUAAAAGAAUCAUGUUACCUCCAGGUAUGUAAAUAUUUCUUUACAUCUAGAUGCAGCACUGGCUGAACUAGUUGACUCAGCUCAACUGACUGUGCCAAGACUUUGCUGUUACUUCCAAAGUUUGCAAUGCUGUAUUUUCUGCAGAAUAAUUUUACUAUAAUUUUAAGUGUUCCAGAGGAAAUGCAGCAUCUUUUUGGCUUAGUGGUACAACUAAUUCCCACCUUCUUUUUUAGAUGCAGUUUGUGAACAGGUACUCUCUACAGAGCCUGUAAAAUUCUGCUCUGAAGACCUUGGGGAGAUCACAAAAACUUACAACUUGAUUUGUAAAAGAAGCUGUUAUUAUUUACCUAGUUUAAUAGACUGAUUUAUCUGUGCUCUUUUUCCUGAAUACCACUGGAAUCUGAAUGUUUUUCUUUAGAACACUUAAGGCAAUCAAAACUAUUUAUUUAAAGCACUGAAUCACUUAAGGAAACAAAUGGAAUACAACCAAAAGCUAAAAUAUUUUUCCAGUGGGGUUUGAUAUCUCUGUAAACAUUUUGACUUUCAUUUUCUUCCUACUCAUUUUUGAGUCUGUCGAGGAUCUAAUAUUAAAUUUUCUAUCAGUUUCUACUAGGGGUGCAAGUACUAUAAGUUGAAAUACAAGUGGAGAACCUGCUGGCUUUAUGUAGUGCAGUUUAUACCCUCCCACACUCUAACAUAUGGCUGAACACCACUGUAUUGUGGAGUCCAAUAAAAGACUGACUUACAGUCUUUUUUAGGAAAAUCCACACUCACUGGGCAUCUCCCUAUCUUACACACUGGUAUCAUACAAACAUGGGCUACAGCUGAGCAUCAGAGCUGUGUAGGGUAGACACAGGAAUCCCUGAGGGCACCUCUGAUCUGAAUGUUAAAUUAGCUUUAUUGAAAUAUCUCUUUUAAAUGAAUGGAACCUGAUGCCUCUCUUGUACUGGAAUAUGCCUUCUUAAUGAUGCUUCCUUGAAAGCUGUUGAUGAGAGGCAGGAAUGAGGGAGCAGUCAUUACCAUUAAAAGUAUUGAAGUGUUAAAUGGUAAAAGUGAUUGCCUUUCUUCCAACCAUAAGUUUUUAUCAUGUUUAUUAAUACAAUAUAGGGCACUGUAGCUUUCUGUGGUAUGUGCAGAGUCACUGAACUCAUGUAUAGAUCACCUUCUUGCGCACCAAUAAAUCCCAGUUAGCUGCUGGUCUGCUCUGGUCAUCUGUGCAAAAGUCCUGAGAGACAUGCUGGCAUGAUCCACUGCAGAGAAGAUGUAUGUGUCUAGGCAUAGGUCUAGGACUAGGGCAGACAGAGUAUUUCCCACAGCAUUCGUAUCUUUCAUGAACAUGGCUGUAGCCUUGGCAGAUAUCCCCGUGUGUGUCUUUGUGAGAUACCGUCAAGGAAAGACUUCAUGAAGAUUGCUGGUGCUACUGCAGCAAGGGCAGAGAGGAUGCAUGAGCAUCCUUGGGGUGGAUGGAAGGCACCCAAGAGAGCCCUUUAGGCUGACAGCGUUUCCUGGGAUGUCCUGGCAGAUACAGGGCGGCAAUAGCCCCAGUGCUCCAGUGAUUAAUUGGGACCUGUAGCACAGUUCUUACAUGGUAAGCAGAGGCAGGCAAAAAGGAAGGCACUUUUAAUGCAGGUGUGAAAGUAGAUCAGGGUGAUAAGGAGAAAUACCAGGAACAGAUGCUGCUGCAAAGUAACAGGACCUGAAGAAUAGAAAGUGAGGACUGAGAAGGAUUUGAUGUGUGACAGGUGAAGGGCAGAAAGGGGAGGAAAGGAAGAUCUACCUGUCAGUUAUGGUAUGCAGAUUCAUAAGAGUCAGGUAUCAGGUAUGCGGACUCAGGUGAAUCUUUGUCAAAAACUCCCUUCCAUAUCCUGUGGCCAGCUAGAUUCCUUUGUAAGCCCAGGAAUAAACCUUUUCCACAUCCAUGGUUUCAAAUUUGUUACUUCAAAUGCAAAACCUCAAAAAGUAGAAACCCUAACAUGAUAUCUCUUUCCAAAAAAAGUCUUUGGGGUCCUGGAGGGCUCUCUUUAAACUUUUAAUCCUUUCUUGGCUAACUGUCAAGUCCUUAUUUUAAUGUCCUUUUUAUUCUUCAGUACUUCUUCGACUACUUUAUCCAUGUGUUUGUCAGGCAUGCCGUAGAAAGAAGAACUUCUCCAAGUAACUUAGACCCCUGUCCCUGUUCGGACUAAGAAAAGGAGAGCUUGGCAGUGGAGUACAGUAUCUUUCAAACCACUGGUAAAUCAAUAUAAAUGGAAAAUCUCCUGUUUUCACUCCAGUGUGUUUCCACAUGUGAGAGAAAACAGCUUAUCUAUGCCAGGUUCUGCAGUGAGCCAGAAUCUGGUCCAUAGGGAUCUCGUUACUCUCGUUUCCCAAGGUGCUGUGCCAGUAUGCUUUCCUGUCUGAGAAUGACCUUUAAUACCUGAACACUGGAAAUCCAGUGAUGG
Long non-coding RNA from Falco peregrinus (peregrine falcon), 5178 nucleotides. RefSeq lists it as uncharacterized. The transcript has 6 exons. The record is from RefSeq and is a predicted model, not a curated record. NCBI's taxonomy places the organism in Eukaryota, Metazoa, Chordata, Aves, Falconiformes, Falconidae.